This is a long non-coding RNA of Lotus japonicus, 1619 nucleotides long. RefSeq lists it as uncharacterized. NCBI's taxonomy places the organism in Eukaryota, Viridiplantae, Streptophyta, Magnoliopsida, Fabales, Fabaceae. The record is from RefSeq and is a predicted model, not a curated record. The transcript is spliced from 3 exons.
CUUUUUCUUCUUCCUUCACGUUCAAUUUCCUGAACCGGCAGCAUCUACUUCCUCUCAUAACUAUCUUCAAUAUCAUUUUCUUUCUCCUAGGCUGCAAUAUCAUCACCAACGUUGCAGCACCAUCAUCAAUUUCUUCUUCUUUCAUUUCCUUUGCUGAAGCACCCAAACCAUUCCUUUUCUUCUUCGUCUCGUUCAUUUUCCCUCUUGGCAGCACCUUCUUCUCCAUGAGACAAGCCUCACCACCAUGUAAGCUUCUCCUUCUUGCAACCAACACCACCACCGUGAAAGCCACCAACACCAUGCCUUACUUCAUCUUCUUCACCUUCCUUAUUUCUUCUCAACAAACCACCACAACCUCCAAGUUUCUAUUGCCUUGGAUCUGAUUGUGAGCUCCAUGAGCAGAGUGGACACUUUGUGAGUACUUGGUCACCGGCGAGCCACUAACAGCCGCUGUCAAACAGCCACCACGAGACCACCACUCCUCCUCCUCAUGACCGCAACAACCAUGAGGAAUCCAGCCUCCACCGUCCCUCCUUCUCCUUCACGCACAAGCCAUAAAGAAGCCACCACAAAGCUUCUUCUUCUUUUCUCCAAGGAACCACCACCAUGGAUCAUUUUUCUCCACCCAAAACAGAGCACCAGCCAUCACCACAAGCUUCUUUCUCCAUGGCCAAAAGCACCACACCCAUCUCCAUGGAAGCAACGAAGACAACGUGAAACAGAACCAAGGACGCCGCCGACAUCGUCAACUUCGGCCUUCGAUUCCAGUGUCUUCGGGCCUCCGUUCACAGCGAGGUUAGUACCAUUGGAACCCUUGCGACGUCCACAACAAAACCCAUAUUCCGGAUCGUCGUUCCGUCGCCGUCGACCGCCGCCGCCGCUGCCUUUGGAGCCGAUUUCCGGUCAACUCCGACUACCAAUGGAAAAAAGGAGUGCACCAAGACGAUCCUUGCCGCAAGGAGAACAAUAGCCCUCAAUCAAUUUCAGUUUUGGACAACUUUUGUCGGCGAGCUCUGCCGACCUACAAUUUGACUGUCUGAGUAAACUGUCGACUUUUUCGUGAAACGGACAGCGCCAAUGAGUUCCUGGCCGCGAAAGGAUAAAGAACCAAUACCCCUUUUGUGUCUUUGGCGACAUUUCCUCCGUCAACCCCCGCACACUACGACUUUCUCCGGCGACUCUUCGCCGACAAGUUUUUGAAACUUGGAUUUUGGUACGAAUAACGGGAGCGCUUGGCGACGAAGUCAAAUAAUAAAAGGAAGCAAGACGACACGGGAAAGCAAAGAUGUGAUCGAAAUGAAGUCACCGUUUAGGAAGAAAAUUGGCUAAGGUGAUGGAGAAUCUUCGAUGGAGCUUGACCUUCGUACGAGUCGGAGAGGAGAACUUGAAGAAUUGUGGAAGACUUGAAGAAUAUAGUCGGGUGUAGAGUUAGAGCCUUGAGUUAGAGAGCUAACCAUUAUUGGUUUAAGCUUGCAUAAUGAUUUUAGAAAUUUAUAUUUGGGGUUUCGGGUACUCGCCUUGUUCAAGGCUUGAUGUAAAUCCCUUUGUAGUUGGGAGUAUGCAUGACAUGUUUUGGAAAUACAUUUGAAAAGAAAAAAAAAUAUACUUGUGUUUAUAAA